Molecule: ribosomal RNA, 253 nt
Filed under: uncultured bacterium
Lineage: Bacteria
Description: partial 16S ribosomal RNA
Rfam family: Bacterial small subunit ribosomal RNA
Source: RNAcentral
UACGAAGGGGGCUAGCGUUGCUCGGAAUGACUGGGCGUAAAGCGUGCGCAGGCGGUUCUAUAAGACAGAUGUGAAAUCCCCGGGCUCAACCUGGGAACUGCAUUUGUGACUGUAGAGCUGGAGUACGGCAGAGGGGGAUGGAAUUCCGCGUGUAGCAGUGAAAUGCGUAGAUAUGCGGAGGAACACCGAUGGCGAAGGCAAUCCCCUGGGCCUGUACUGACGCUCAUGCACGAAAGCGUGGGGAGCAAACAGG